This 1164-nucleotide ribosomal RNA is filed under the name Bacillus cereus. RNAcentral's name for it is "bacterial SSU rRNA". It matches the Rfam family "Bacterial small subunit ribosomal RNA", at positions 1 to 1164 of the family's 1533-position model. The record is from RNAcentral. Lineage: Bacteria; Bacillati; Bacillota; Bacilli; Caryophanales; Bacillaceae.
GGGGAUAGAGGGGGGAAGCGCUGGUCCUAUACAUGCAAGUCGAGCGAAUGGAUUAAGAGCUUGCUCUUAUGAAGUUAGCGGCGGACGGGUGAGUAACACGUGGGUAACCUGCCCAUAAGACUGGGAUAACUCCGGGAAACCGGGGCUAAUACCGGAUAACAUUUUGAACCGCAUGGUUCGAAAUUGAAAGGCGGCUUCGGCUGUCACUUAUGGAUGGACCCGCGUCGCAUUAGCUAGUUGGUGAGGUAACGGCUCACCAAGGCAACGAUGCGUAGCCGACCUGAGAGGGUGAUCGGCCACACUGGGACUGAGACACGGCCCAGACUCCUACGGGAGGCAGCAGUAGGGAAUCUUCCGCAAUGGACGAAAGUCUGACGGAGCAACGCCGCGUGAGUGAUGAAGGCUUUCGGGUCGUAAAACUCUGUUGUUAGGGAAGAACAAGUGCUAGUUGAAUAAGCUGGCACCUUGACGGUACCUAACCAGAAAGCCACGGCUAACUACGUGCCAGCAGCCGCGGUAAUACGUAGGUGGCAAGCGUUAUCCGGAAUUAUUGGGCGUAAAGCGCGCGCAGGUGGUUUCUUAAGUCUGAUGUGAAAGCCCACGGCUCAACCGUGGAGGGUCAUUGGAAACUGGGAGACUUGAGUGCAGAAAGAGGAAAGUGAAAUUCCAUGUGUAGCGGUGAAAUGCGUAGAGAUAUGGAGGAACACCAGUGGCGAAGGCGACUUUUCUGGUCUGUAACUGACACUGAGGCGCGAAAGCGUGGGGAGCAACAGGAUUAGAUACCCCUGGUAGUCCACGCCGUAAACGAUGAGUGCUAAGUGUUAGAGGGUUUCCGCCCUUUAGUGCUGAAGUUAACGCAUUAAGCACUCCGCUGGGGGAGUACGGCCGCGAUGCGUGAAACUCAAAUGAUUUGACGGGGGCCCCGCACAAGCCGUGGAGCUAUGUUGUUUUAUUUCCGAGCACCGAGGAGAACCUUUACAGGUCUUGGACAUUCCUCUGAAAACCUUGAGAGUAGGCUUCCUUCCUUCCGGGACAGAGGACAAGUGGAUGCAAUGGUUGUCCGUCGCUCGGUUCGGGGAAUGGUAGGUAACGUUGCCGCUGAGAGCAGCCAACUUGACUUAAUUCCAUAUAAGUUGACCUCUAAGAGCACUGCCGUACUCUUAC